CCUACGGGAGGCAGCAGUCGGGAAUAUUGCGCAAUGGAGGAAACUCUGACGCAGUGACGCCGCGUAUAGGAAGAAGGUUUUCGGAUUGUAAACUAUUGUCGUUAGGGAAGAUACAAGACAGUACCUAAGGAGGAAGCCCCGGCUAACUAUGUGCCAGCAGCCGCGGUAAUACGUAGGGAGCGAGCGUUGUCCGGAAUUACUGGGUGUAAAGGGAGCGUAGGCGGGGAUGCAAGUUGGGUGUCAAAACUACCGGCUCAACUGGCAGUCGCACUCAAAACUGCAGCUCUUGAGUGAAGUAGAGGCAG
RNAcentral lists this ribosomal RNA (305 nucleotides) under uncultured bacterium. RNAcentral's name for it is "bacterial SSU rRNA". It matches the Rfam family "Bacterial small subunit ribosomal RNA", at positions 338 to 660 of the family's 1533-position model. The record is from RNAcentral.